GGGGGCAUAGCUCAGUAAUAGAGCACAAGCUUAGCAUGCACGAAGUCCUGGGUUCAAUCCCCAGUAUCUCCA
This 72-nucleotide transfer RNA is filed under the name Camelus bactrianus (Bactrian camel). It matches the Rfam family "tRNA". From Rfam's summary of the family: Transfer RNA (tRNA) molecules are approximately 80 nucleotides in length. Lineage: Eukaryota; Metazoa; Chordata; Mammalia; Artiodactyla; Camelidae. RNAcentral also lists the same sequence under 2 other names. The record is from Rfam by way of RNAcentral.